This 429-nucleotide ribosomal RNA is filed under the name Pseudomonadota bacterium. RNAcentral describes it as "Proteobacteria bacterium partial 16S ribosomal RNA". It matches the Rfam family "Bacterial small subunit ribosomal RNA", at positions 355 to 776 of the family's 1533-position model. Lineage: Bacteria; Pseudomonadati; Pseudomonadota. The record is from RNAcentral.
UGGGGAAUAUUGGACAAUGGGCGAAAGCCUGAUCCAGCCAUGCCGCGUGUGUGAAGAAGGUCUUCGGAUUGUAAAGCACUUUAAGUUGGGAGGAAGGGCAGUAAGCGAAUACCUUGCUGUUUUGACGUUACCGACAGAAUAAGCACCGGCUAACUCUGUGCCAGCAGCCGCGGUAAUACAGAGGGUGCAAGCGUUAAUCGGAAUUACUGGGCGUAAAGCGCGCGUAGGUGGUUCGUUAAGUUGAAUGUGAAAGCCCCGGGCUCAACCUGGGAACUGCAUCCAAAACUGGCGAGCUAGAGUAGGGCAGAGGGUGGUGGAAUUUCCUGUGUAGCGGUGAAAUGCGUAGAUAUAGGUAGGAACACCAGUGGCGAAGGCGACCACCUGGGCUCAUACUGACACUGAGGUGCGAAAGAGUGGGGAGCAAACAGG